GGGGCUGUAGCUCAGCUGGGAGAGCACUUGCAUGGCAUGCAAGGGGCCGAGGGUUCAAACCCCUCCAGCUCCACCA
This 76-nucleotide transfer RNA is filed under the name Candidatus Omnitrophota bacterium. Its description in RNAcentral is "Candidatus Omnitrophica bacterium tRNA-Ala". It matches the Rfam family "tRNA". Rfam says of the family: Transfer RNA (tRNA) molecules are approximately 80 nucleotides in length. Their secondary structure includes four short double-helical elements and three loops (D, anti-codon, and T loops). Further hydrogen bonds mediate the characteristic L-shaped molecular structure. tRNAs have two regions of fundamental functional importance: the anti-codon, which is responsible for specific mRNA codon recognition, and the 3' end, to which the tRNAs corresponding amino acid is attached (by aminoacyl-tRNA synthetases). tRNAs cope with the degeneracy of the genetic code in two manners: having more than one tRNA (with a specific anti-codon) for a particular amino acid; and 'wobble' base-pairing, i.e. permitting non-standard base-pairing at the 3rd anti-codon position. The record is from RNAcentral. Lineage: Bacteria; Pseudomonadati; Candidatus Omnitrophota.